CCCCCCCACACACACACACACAAAUUCCUCGCCUUCUUCCUUCCUUUCUUUCAUUCUUUCUCCCCAGAAAAGAUUCGUCCUGUUCCUGCCAGCCUUGCUUUCCAUGUGAUUUGAGGCGGAAAAAUCGCGGCUUUGUUUUUUCGGUUACCGAAUAAGAGCGUGUAUAGUCACGUUAAUGCUCUGGAGUGCAGAGAUUGGAUAUUUUACGAGUUCUGGAGCAAUAAAACUUAGGAUUUUGCUUGUCCAAAAAAAAAAAACUUAGGAUUUUGCGAUGAUUCGGCGAUUUAGUUCCAUUAUUCACUCCUGCUGCUCUAUGUAAUUUAGGGGAAACGAAGACUGCAUUUUUGUGUGCAAAGACUGUUGAUUUUUAAUGUUACAUAAAACAAUAUUUGAAGACGGUAAAUAAUCUACUGCAGGUUCUUCCUGAACCUGUGAUUGCUUGUUGCAAAGGUUGCGUAGGAUAUUCCAGUUACUUCUACUCGGUACCACGUACCAGUGUGGAUCUGAUGAACUUUGCUUGCCCUUUUUAUCAGCAGCGCCCUUUCUCAAGUCAUGGCCUUCAGUAUUUAUUUGUUCACGCACCAGCCUGUACCUUUCAGAAAUUAUUAAUUCGGCGGGCCUUUUGCUUGUUCCUGAUUUGGGGCAAAGCAGCUAGAAGGGCUACUGACAUGUCGGCCCCUUCGAUUCCAGCAUAUACCUUUCUUCAAAAGCAAUCCUUUUAUUCGCUUUACAUCAUGGAAAGUAAUUGCGUCGAUAAUUCUGUAGCCAGUGCCGUUAAGUACAGAAACUUUUGGUUGAUUGGACUCAACUCAUGUAUGAGGAAACAAGUUUAUCAUCCAUACUAACCAUGAUGGGGAUAGCUUAUCGCUAAAUGUGAACAAUAUGCCCGAACGACAGUGUCCUUUUCUCAUCGAACAAAUCUGUACCUCUAAACUGUACAUCUAAGACAUUUCGCCAGUAAGUAUCCCCUUGAAUCGUUGGCCAAUUUGAGUCAUGUUGUAUGUCAUUUAUUUCCUCCUUCCGUUACCACUGCAGUGCAAUGAACAAGCAACACUAGGAGAGUAGGAGUUCACGCUAUUGCUGUGGUAAGUAGAAUCUGGUGUCUAGUGGUGAGGCUGAGGACAUUGAUAAUGUCAUUUUCCUAGCUUUUUCCUCAUCUUUUUGGAUACCAGACGACACGGAGGACCACAAUAUUUGUAUGAUUGAGGAAUCAGGGCCUCUCUCAGCGUCCUACCAAAUACACCAGUGUGACCAGAACGGCCAAAAGCCAGUUGCUAGGUGUCACAUUUCUGAGCCGUAUUCUCUAUGCUGUCUUUUCUAACUGCCCAGUUUGUUGUUUUUCUUUUCAUGGUUUACAGCCUCAAAAAUUACUUGCAAAUAUCUAUUGUCUUUGGCCUUUUAGCUGUUUGAUUGUUUCUGUAGAGAUGACACUCUACAUUAUGUGUUGCGUUUAUAGUGAGACACAGAAUACCCUAUUGUCCAUGUCAGAUAUAAAAUGAGUAGGCCAGUGGGUUGAGUGCAAGGGCUUGUGAGUUGUGACAACCGUGUAAUAGAUAUCCAUUGCAGUGGGCAGGCAACCACCAAGUGUUUGUUAAAUGGUUGGUUCUGCUGUGUUGUUAGUUUGUCUUUUCUUGUGCAUGCACACAUAUAAGGACAUUUAGUAGGUUCUUCAAGUUAUAGUUAAACAGGCUUGGACAUAUUUUAAAUGUUUAAUUGGCUGCAAGAGUUUUUGAGUUCAGAGGCUGAGUAUUUCAGGACUAUGAGCUGGCAUCAAGAUCUUAAACAACAUAAUCCUUUCAUGAUAUGCUUUCGUUUAGUUAGUAAAACUAGUUAUGAAUUUACGGGUGUAAGUUCUUUGUCUCCAAGAGUAACAGAUUGUUGUGCGAUUUCUCAAGAUAUGUUGGUGUUCAUUUCAACUGUUGUUUGAUGUAAAUUUUCUUGAAGAUACACUAUUAUUUUUAUGUCUAAAUUUUAAAUGAUCUACUGCCUGCAA
Long non-coding RNA from Panicum virgatum (switchgrass), 1993 nucleotides. RefSeq lists it as uncharacterized. The transcript has 2 exons. The record is from RefSeq and is a predicted model, not a curated record. Lineage: Eukaryota; Viridiplantae; Streptophyta; Magnoliopsida; Poales; Poaceae.